UACGAGAGGUCCAAACGUUAUUCGGAAUCACUGGGCUUACAGAGUUCGUAGGCGGUUCUACAAGUGGGGUGUGAAAGCCCUCGGCUCAACCGAGGAACUGCGCUCCAAACUGUAGAACUAGAGGAAGAUAGAGGUGAGCGGAACUGAUGGUGGAGCGGUGAAAUGCGUUGAUAUCAGCAGGAACACCGGAGGCGAAGGCGGCUCACUGGGUCUUUUCUGACGCUGAGGAACGAAAGCUAGGGGAGCAAACGGG
RNAcentral lists this ribosomal RNA (253 nucleotides) under uncultured bacterium. RNAcentral describes it as "partial 16S ribosomal RNA". It matches the Rfam family "Bacterial small subunit ribosomal RNA", at positions 524 to 776 of the family's 1533-position model. The record is from RNAcentral.